GGUUGAUUCGGCAACCCAUAUACUAAAAUUGGAACCAUAUGGAAAGGAUGAGCAUGGCCCCUGGGCAAGAAUGAUGUGCAAGUUCGUGAAGCGUUCCAUAUUUUU
Diceros bicornis minor is the source of this 105-nucleotide small nuclear RNA. Lineage: Eukaryota; Metazoa; Chordata; Mammalia; Perissodactyla; Rhinocerotidae. The record is from RefSeq and is a predicted model, not a curated record.